CAGCGUGAAAAUGUGGCGGGUAGGUGAACCUGCGGAAGGAUCAUUGCACACACAAGUUGCAGCCAACCCGCGGCGAACGAACACAUUGUCCCCCUCGGUGGGUCGUGGCGCCUCGCGGCGUCGCGGCCGGCCAUCUCCCUUCGUCACGAGCUUCGUCGCGGCGAGCUCGGGGCGUGGGGUUUCCACGAUGCAUCCACCUUGACUGAAUGACUGAGUCCCUUUACUUCAUAGGAAUUAGCUCCGUCCCCGUUCGCCGGCUCGCUUGCGAAUUGGGGCGGCGCUGGUUACCUUACGAGUUGAAACAUAACCAAAAACAACUCUCAGCAACGGAUAUCUUGGCUCUUGCAACGAUGAAGAACGCAGCGAAAUGCGAUACGUAGUGUGAAUUGCAGAAUUCCGCGAAUCAUCGAGUCUUUGAACGCAAGUUGCGCCCGAGGCUUGUCCGAGGGCAUUUCCGCUAGAGCGUCACCGCGCCCCCCACCAACCCGCUCCCACGUGGAUUCGGGUCGAGUGAAAGUGGCCAUCCUGGUGGGCCUUUUUUUUCCUUAAGGGAAGAGGAAGGCCUUAAGGGUUGGCUGAAAUGGAGGGAAUCGAGCCGCCGUGGUGACACAGUCCGCGAUCGGGUGAUCCGAGCUCCUUCGGGAGCCCGGAAUUUUUCUAAGUGCGCGGCUGCGUCCCCCAGUUGGUUUUGGUUACCUCAUGCAGGUCGAGCGCGCCCUCGUGGCGCGCGUCACGCAUCAGACCUCUAAUCGGAAAAGACUACCCGCUGAGUUUAAGCAUAUCACUAAGCGGAGGAGAAGAAACUAACCAGGAUUUCCCUA
RNAcentral lists this ribosomal RNA (821 nucleotides) under Sarmentypnum procerum. RNAcentral describes it as "eukaryotic LSU rRNA". The stretch from base 316 to 468 matches the Rfam family "5.8S ribosomal RNA". Lineage: Eukaryota; Viridiplantae; Streptophyta; Bryopsida; Hypnales; Amblystegiaceae. The record is from RNAcentral.